This is a long non-coding RNA of Pan troglodytes (chimpanzee), 6839 nucleotides long. RefSeq lists it as uncharacterized. NCBI's taxonomy places the organism in Eukaryota, Metazoa, Chordata, Mammalia, Primates, Hominidae. The record is from RefSeq and is a predicted model, not a curated record. The transcript is spliced from 2 exons.
UCUGUCCUGUAGGCAAGGAUGAAAUGUAGAAUAAAGACUCACAUGCACGCCCCACAGUAAAAGGCAGAUGAUGAGCUAAUAAAAUCUCUUUCAAAGAAUCUUAGCCAUACUGGCAUGUCUUUGUGUUAAUGACCAACUGGCCAACUAUUAAUACUCCACUUUUCUGACCUGUCUUCAUAAGUUGUAAUUCGUGAAUUUCAUUCAUUCUAAGAUGCACAUAUUUUCCCUCCAUAUUUUUAUAUUAACAUCUUUAAAGUCAACAUUUGUUUUGCGAUUGAUGUCAUCAUACAUUUGCUGAAAUGUACCUGCUUCUUUUCUACUCUUUCCAUAGUUGAAAACACCAGUGGAUUUUCAGCAGAAACACCAAUAUUAAAUACACCUCUUCCACAUUUCCAUUUGAGAUGACAACAAGAAACAGUAAUAAAUCAGCAGGAAACAUAGACAACAAACUAACAAGCAGUUUGUCACCAGAGAAUGCACAGAGCUAAAUCUGAAAGACUAACUUUAACAAUCAUGACUUAGGUGUUGUAUAGAAGGAAGUCAGUGGAAAUGGAAGUUUGUUUGGUUCUCAGCCUCUAUCUAUUUAAGACUUUGUGAACAUUCCUAUAUUUGUUCAAUAUUUCAAUUAAUUAAAUUUAUCCCAAAGGGACUUUAACUUAAGUGAGGUACCAGGAAUAGUCAAUUCAUUGAGAUAGAAAGUAGAAUGAUGCUGGCCAGGGUGUUGGAGGAGGGGGAGUUGGGAGCUAAUGUCUAAUGGACAGAAAGUUUCCAUUUGAGAAGAUGAAAAAGUUCUGGAGAUGAUGGUGGUGAUGAUCGUACAUCAAUGUGAAUGUACUUAAUAGUAGUAAAAUGUACAUUCAAAAAUGGUGAAAAUAGCAAAUUUUACAUAUAUUUUGCCACAAUAAAAAAGACAUACUUUGGGCGGCCGAGGCGGGUGGAACACGAGGUCAGGGGAUUGAGGCCAUCCUGGCCAACAUGGUGAAACUCCGUCUCUACUAAGAACACAAAAAUUAGCUGGGCAUGGUGGCACGUGCCUGUAUUCCCGGCUAUCAGGAGGCUGAGGCAGAAGAAUCGCUGGAACCAGGUAGUUGGAGGUUGCAGUGAGCAGAGAUUGUGCCACUGCACUCCAGCCUGGUGGCAGAGCAAGACUCUGACAAAAAAAAAAAAAAAAAAAAAAAAAAAAAAAAAAAAAAAAAAAAAAAAAAAAGAGGCUAUAACUAAAAGACACUUUGAGGAAUGAUAUUAAAGAGUGAAUGCAAGGCCAGGCAUGGUGGCUCACACUUGUAAUCCCAGCACUUUCACAGGCUUAGGCAUGUGAAUCGCUUGAGUCCAGGAGUUUGAGACCAGCCUGAGCAAUGUGGCGAAACCCCAUCUCUACAAAAAAUACAAAGAUUAGCCAGGCAUGGUGGCAUGCACCUGUAGUCCCAGGUACUCAGGAGGCUGAGGGGAGAUCACUUGAGCCUGGAAGGUAGAGGCUGCAGUGAGACGAAAUGGCACUUCACUGCACUCCAGCCUGUAUGAUAGAGGGAAACCCUAUCUCAAAUGAGUUGAUGCAGUAGGGGAUAAAAUAAAUAGAACCAAACUAGUGUUGAUUUAAAAUUAACACACAAUAUAUUCAGAUCUAAAAGUGAUUUUAUCACUCCCCUUGGAAAUACCGAUGAAGAAGUCCUGUGGAUUGGGUGGAACCCCUGUUCUCAUUCCUCUGCAGCCCAAGCCGUGUACAACUCAGAUGGACUCAGACAACUCAGAGUUUGCUCAUAAGGAAAUACAACAAAGAGAUUGUCUCAGAGAAGCAAAGGAACAGACUGUAGACACGAGGCACAAAAAUAUCUCAUGCCAGUUCCACAGAAGUCAAACCCUUCCUCACUUAAGGAAAAUUGAAAGUCUCUAAAAUAUACACUGAAAACAAGUUUGACAUUUUGGGGCUUCUUAGUCAAAAGGAGUGGGGCCUUUCAGAAGGGAAAGUUACACUCCGUACAGUAUCAGUUUUCUCAAGUGUAAAGAGGAGGGCAGCUCUCCUAAGUUCCAAAGCAGGAGCCACUGUCGGAGCUCAUGGCUCUAAGCCCCAAACCACCCGUUUCCUGAGGUUUAGCCCUUUGAGCAUUGAUAAAGCAGAAAGAGUGGUUACAUAGGUCCCUCACAGUGUGGUAAAACCAGUCAUCUCUCUGCUAACUUGGCAGAAUUAUGUAUGUAACCCAGGUAAGUGGUUUGCACAUGGUGCUCCCUUAAGGUGAAUUUUGCAAUUAUUUCUCUGAUUUUAGUGAUCUCUGAUCAGGAAUAGGUUAUUUAAAAAUGACUUUGAUAUAUACUCUAGAAAUGUAAGAAAAUUAUUUUAACAUAUUGAGCCUCUUGAAGAAGAAUAUUUCUAUGAAAGAACAAGAUUUAAACUCUGGAAAUGUAAGAAAAUUAUUUUAACAUAUUGAGCCUCUUGAAGAAGAAUAUUUCUAUGAAAGUACAAGAUUUAAACCACUACACACUAAAAGCAAGAGGGCCAAGGAGGCGUCCAUUGAAGAUGGACCUCAAUCCCUUGGGGCAACAGAAAGGCAAUACAAGUAAGUAUUUCCAGCACUCUGGUAAGUCUGUAGCUUCAACAUCUGUUCUAAAAGAUCAAUUUAGGAAAAUCAAAGAUGGAUUUGGGAUUGGCCUUUGAGUGUCCAAAGUCCCCCCAGGCAGGAGAAGUGGAGGUCGGGGGAGGGAGCUGCUCAGGGCAGCCUUCGAAAGGGGAUGACACAGCGGGGUGAGAGUAAUGCUAAAAGAAAAUAAAAACUCGAGAUUCCAAUUCACUACACCAAAAGGAAAAAUGAAGCUGAACGCUGAGUUAUGCAAAAAGCUGCCUUUCCUUUUGUUCCUAACAAGAAAGCUGCAGAUACAAGGUUAAACAUCCCCACUGGUAGCUACUGCAUGUUCACCUUAUCUUGUGUACAGUGCCGAUUUACUGAGUGAGAUGAAUACUCAAUUGAUGAUUCCCUGCCUGCUCCUUUUCCCUUGCAACCUGUGGAUUCAGUAGUGGGACCAUAACCUUACUCUUUCCCCUCUAGCCCACUUCUCCCCUUUAAAUAUUGAAGCUCUCAAAAUAAAUCAUCUUUGGAGAAAGGCACAAACCACAGACUGUGUUUCUGGGAUUCUGUAUUCCUUUCUCCUGGCCUAUCCUUAACCUUGGCAAAAUAAACUCAAUUGAUUGAGACCUGUCUCAGAUACUUUUUACAGUAAACAGGGUGGGCUUCUAGAAUUAUGAUGCUCAGCUGCCUGAACCUCGAUUCAACAGAUGUGUCCUUGUGUUGGAGAUGAGAACAGAAGUGGAAUCUGCAGAAGCCUGAGUGGUCACAGGAUCCUGCCCCAUCAGUGAUGCUGGACAAGGCUCAGUUGCAGCUCAGGUGGGACUCAGCAGGCCAGAGACAUGCACAGCUCUGGACUUCCCAGCCUUGCCCUUCUAGGCCUAUGAUGCUGUGACCCUGCCCUGCAACCUCUCCUAUGUCCUCUGACUCCCCAGGACCAUCCACCUGCUGUUCUCUCCACCUGGAGUGCUGUCCUCUACAGCCAUGCCUCUGGGCUUCCCCGGCAGGUUUCUUCUCAUCCCUUUCAAUCAGACUCAAACAUCUGCUUCUCUAGAUUCCUUGGCUCACGGGUUCUCAAGAUUGAGUUGGUAUCAGGGCACCCUGGAAGGGCUCAUUCAUUAAAACAUGGAGUGCCAGGCUGUGCUUCUGGAUUUCAGCUGCAGCAGGUCUGUGGCUGGGUCUUAGAAUUUGCAUUUCUAACAAAGCUCGGUUGCUACUGCUGAUGCUGGACCAAGGACUACACUUUGAGAAGUGUAAGUCUGCUCUGGGCAGUCUUAGAAGCCACCAUUGAUUUCUAUUUCAGUUUACCCAGGUGUCAUUAGUACACACAGCUCCUAAGACCCCUGUGAUCUCUGGAAUAUGGAAUUUUCAGUCCCCACUCCCCCACCUCACCAACAUCCAGAGAGGGGAGAGAGGCUUGAGACUUGGCUAAUCACUAAAGGCUGAUGAUUCAAUCAAUCAUUCCGAUGUCAUUCAACCUCUUUAAUGACAGAGUUCAGAGAGAUUGGUAGUUGGUAAACACAUCCACAUGGUGGGGGUGCACAUCCCAACUCCAAGGGGUCAAACGCUCCUGUGCUCGGGACCCUUCGAGAUCUCAAGACCUAUGUAACUCUUCGUCAUUUGUAACCUUUGUAGUAAACCCAUGAUCGUCAAUCAAGUGGCUUCUUGAGUUUUAUGAGCCAUUUUAGCAGAUUAGCAAACCUGAAAGGGAAAGCCUGUGGGAACCCCUGACUUUGUAGGCAAGUCGUGGGUACCCAUGAGACUCAAGACUGGAAACUGGCAUCUGAGGGGAGGAAAGUCUUGGGGAAUUGAGCUCUUAACCCUCUGGGGUCUGAUGCUAAUUCCAGGUAGUCAGUAUCAGAACUGAACUGAAUUGUAGGACACCAAGCUACCAGCAUCUAGAGAAUUGGAGAACUGGUUGUUAGUGUGGAAAAACUCCACCAAUUUGGUGUCAGAAGUGCUGUGAAUAAAAACAGCUCAUGUCCGGCUAGCUCAGCUUUAUGCACAUUUGCCCUGAAAAAUGAUAGCAGUAACAUCUUUUCCUCUCAAAGCAUCCCAGUUGUUUGCAUUACAUUGCGGUUUCCAUUACGUUGCAGUUUGCAUUACGUCGCAAUUUGCAUUACAUCCCAGUAAUGCAUUACAUGGUGACUCUAAUUAUAAGGUUCUGUUAACAUUUGUGUGUCAUCUGUUGGAACAGAUUUCUUGGGGGCAGAGUGCAUGUGUUAUUCAUUGUUAUAAUUUCAGUAGCAUGCAUGGAUUAGUUUGUCACUUCACUUAUUAAGUAGUUUUUGAGCCACUGGAUAAUUCUGUUAUAUAAGCUUGGACAAGUUAGUAGUGGAUUAACUAAUACUUAUUCCCCCAAACAUUAUCAAAAUAGGGGAUAUUCUUUUCUUUAUAUAUUACUUAAGGGCAAACUGGGGCACAAUUUCAAUGACUGACUCAUGCAUUAAUGCUGAGAUGCAAUAUGAAGAUGUUUUAUGAACCCACUUUCCACUUGCUAACUAGGGCUGAGAGACUAUUAAAUUAGAAAAAGAAACAAAUGUUUGUUUAAAAAUGUUCUGCAGAAAAUCUUACGGACUUCCUUAAGUGUAAUAGUUAUGAUAACCCGAUUUAAAUAAGAAACAUACUGAAUAACCACACUAUUUUUCUAAAACUGUUAGAAGUCUAAUGAAUACAAAUGAAAAUUAAUCUGUUCCUUUCCUUACACUUACUUUUCAAGUUUAAAGUCCAUUUUUUAAUUCUUAACCAAACUCUUACGGCUUUUUAGGAGGUGUGAUUCUAUAAAUAAUGGCUUCAGUUUGGUUUCCUGUUUUGAAAUUAAAAACAUGUGAAAUUCAAACCUUCUGUUCAAGUCUGAACAGAGUCAUGCCUUUAUGAUCACUGAUGAUUCUGCGCAAGGUACGGUCUCUUAACUAAGCAAAUAAGGAAUCUGUUUUGCUUUGAAAUAGAAACAGAAGUUGGCUUUAUUAAUGUCCUUAGUUUUCUUUCUUACUGGAGACAUUUGUUUAGCUUCACUCUUGAGCUGCCUCAGUGUGGGCAAAGUCCCAAGUCCAAGUCCCAGAACUUUUACCUGUUAAUUGGAUAACAGGGAAGUCUGGAUCUAUUAAGUCAUGUGAUAAUUUAGUAACAAUGUAGUAAAACAAUUUAAAACUCAAUGAAAAACACUGUGUUUGUCCAAUGCAGGUGCAAGUUUUGCCUCGGCCAAUUAUUUCUUAGCUGUGACUUUAGAAAUCUUUUGUUUUCCUUAAUGAGGCAUUACUAGCAUUUUAGGCAACAACAUUCCUUGUUAUGCAGCACAGCAGUGCAUAUUGCAAGACCUUUAGCAUCCCUGGAUCCUGCCCAGUAAAUGUCAGUAGCAUCCCUCUCCCAGUUAUCAUGACAACUAAAAUACUGCCACGGGUUUCCAAAUGCUCCUUAUGAGGGACAGUAGAAUCUUCAGUUGAGAAUGCUGAUGGAUGAGAAGCACAUAAGGUAAGUAUAUAAUUAGGAAAUAACAGAGGAAUGUAAAGUGUUCCUUUGAAAGUUUUAGCAAUUAACAGAAAUAGAGCAAAAAGAAGAUCAGGUAGCAGGUUCCAAAAAAACUUACUUAAGAAAAUAAUGAUGAAAAUGCUACAAAAGAUAAACUGUGGAAUGUAGCUAAAGCAGUAUUCAGAGGACAAUUCAUGGCCUUAAAUACUUAUGUCAAUAUAUGAGUAAGAAUAAAAAUAAGUGAACCAGAUAUUUUUAAUUAGGAUGUUAGAAAUAAAGGAUAGCCCAAGAAAGCAGAAAGAGGGAUCUGAUGUAGAAACAAAAGUCAAUAUAUUAGAAACAGAAGUCAAUAUGUUGAACAUAAUAACAUACAACUUUGCAUACCUUCUUCUUUCACACUCUCCUCUGUAUCACAGGUUCUAAAAAUCAGGAGUACAUUUUCUAACUCUCAUAUCUGUGAAGCUUUCAGUGAGAUCCCACUAAUCAGAGGCACUAGCAUGAGAUUUGGAAGGUGGAGGAGUGAGAAGCCACAUGCUCCCAUCUCUGGAAGCAGUGGAUGUAAGGAUGGGCUUUGGAAGAUGCAAAGGUCUGUGGCCACCUUCAAGCAUUUUCCUGGGAAUCACUUGCUCCAGUGCUGGAUUAUCUGUAAUCAUCACCAAUGAUCUCUAAAAUUUUCUGCAACUUUCUGACUUUUCAAAAUCCGGAGUAACUCUGAGAACUACAGAUGUCUGGCCUUUACUCCUUCAAUCUCUCUCUUUAUUUUGUAAACAACAAAUCCUCUGUAUUAAAUAACUUCUUGCUUGAAAUACCUAGAAA